RNAcentral lists this unclassified non-coding RNA (229 nucleotides) under plant metagenome. Its description in RNAcentral is "partial contains small subunit ribosomal RNA, internal transcribed spacer 1, and 5.8S ribosomal RNA". The record is from RNAcentral.
UCUCCGUAGGUGAACCUGCGGAGGGAUCAUUACAGAGUUCUCGCCCUCGCGGGUAGAUCUCCCACCCACUGUUAUCGUUACUGUGUUGCUUUGGCGGGCCGCCGGGCCCCGCUCGGCCGCCGGCUCCGGCUGGCGCGCGCCCGCCAGAGGCCCAGCAAACUCUGAAUGUUAGUGUCGUCUGAGUACUAUAUAAUAGUUAAAACUUUCAACAGCGGAUCUCUUGGUUCUG